RNAcentral lists this non-coding RNA (31 nucleotides) under Rattus norvegicus (Norway rat). Lineage: Eukaryota; Metazoa; Chordata; Mammalia; Rodentia; Muridae. The record is from RNAcentral.
UGACCAUGUCUAUGUCUCCCUUACACUGCCC